RNAcentral lists this ribosomal RNA (18 nucleotides) under Trypanosoma cruzi. RNAcentral's name for it is "partial 5.8S ribosomal RNA". Lineage: Eukaryota; Euglenozoa; Kinetoplastea; Trypanosomatida; Trypanosomatidae. The record is from RNAcentral.
AAGCGGUCGCGAUGAUGA